RNAcentral lists this ribosomal RNA (376 nucleotides) under uncultured bacterium. Its description in RNAcentral is "bacterial SSU rRNA". It matches the Rfam family "Bacterial small subunit ribosomal RNA", at positions 524 to 898 of the family's 1533-position model. The record is from RNAcentral.
UCCGUAGGUGGCCCGCGUUGUCCGGCUUUAUUGGGCGUAAAGCUAGCGCAGGCGGUCUUUUAAGUCUGAUGUGAAAGCCCCCGGCUUAACCGGGGAGGGUCAUUGGAAACUGGGAGACUUGAGUGCAGAAGAGGAAAGCGGAAUUCCAUGUGUAGCGGUGAAAUGCGCAGAUAUAUGGAGGAACACCAGUGGCGAAGGCGGCUUUCUGGUCUGUAACUGACGCUGAGGCUCGAAAGCGUGGGGAGCAAACAGGAUUAGAUACCCUGGUAGUCCACGCCGUAAACGAUGAGUGCUAAGUGUUGGAGGGUUUCCGCCCUUCAGUGCUGCAGCAAACGCAUUAAGCACUCCGCCUGGGGAGUACGACCGCAAGGUUGAA